CUUCCGUUGCGGUUGGCGAACGAGAACACAGUGACGGCGGCGACAUGAACAGACAAUUGGUGGUCUUAGCUGUGCUGCUGACACUGGCACUGUGUUUCGCGAUAGUGAAGGCGAACCCGGUGGCUGACCCACGUCAUCACCACAGGGGUGGUGGCCACGACUAUGGACACGGACAUCACCACCAUGACUGGCACCGUCCACACCAUAGGCACCACCCACACCACGGGCACCACCACGACUACCAUUGAGAACAAGUGACGGCUCCUUGCUUAUUUAAGGAUAAGAGACUGGCAGGCUUAGAGUGAUAACGAUCAUGAGUCCAUUUUCUUGUGGUGAAAAUAGCAAUAUGUGAGAUGCAGAAUGUAUAUUUGAGUAUUUAUUGACUAUUUUAAUCCAGAGGAUAAGCAAUGACAGUGUUUUAAUUGAACUACUUCAGAACAUGCAAGUGUUUUGUUGUUUCUGUGUCCUGCUACUCUCACAGAUUUGUUGUUAUGCAAUCUGCGUGUAACAAACUGGACACUUUUAGUGCCAUGUUGGGGAAAAAAUUCAUAGUAUAAUAAUGUAAAAGAGAUUGGAUUAAUUUGAAAGAAAUGUUGACUAAAUCUAUGUGUAUUAUCCGACACCCAUUGAUGAAUCAGUCGAUAAGUUCUUGAAGAGCUACAGUUACAUCUUUGUCUCUAGAUUUGUUGGCGCAAUACUUUGGUCUAUGUUUAUUUAAGAAUUUAUUAUUUUAAUGCAAUACCUUUUUCCAUUUGUGAACUGAAGACGUAUUGUAAAACAUUCAAUUUAU
Molecule: long non-coding RNA, 790 nt
Organism: Schistocerca gregaria
Lineage: Eukaryota; Metazoa; Arthropoda; Insecta; Orthoptera; Acrididae
Exons: 2
Source: RefSeq, a predicted model, not a curated record